CCUACGGGAGGCAGCAGUGGGGAAUAUUGCGCAAUGGGGGAAACCCUGACGCAGCAACGCCGCGUGAGUGAGGAAGGACUUCGGUCUGUAAAGCUCUGUUAAUGUGGAAAAAUGGUAGUUGGUCUAAUAGGCCGAUUACUUGAUGGUACACAUAGAGGAAGCACCGGCUAACUUCGUGCCAGCAGCCGCGGUAAUACGAAGGGUGCAAGCGUUGUUCGGAUUUAUUGGGCGUAAAGCGCGCGUAGGCGGACCUGCAAGUCAGAUGUGAAAUCUCGGGGCUCAACCUCGAAACUGCGUCUGAAACUACAGGUCUAGAAUCUUGGAGGGGGAAGGGAAUUUCUCAUGUAGGGGUAAAAUCCGUAGAUAUGAGAAGGAACACCAGAGGCGAAGGCGCCUUCCUGGACAAGUAUUGACGCUGAGGCGCGAAAGCGUGGGGAUCAAACNGGAUUAGAUACCCUGGUAGUCCACGCUGUAAACGAUGAAUACUAGAUAUUGCAGGAUUUGACCCCAGCAGUGUCGUAGCUAACGCGUUAAGAUUCCGCCUGGGAAUCGGUCGCAAGACUAAACGUUAAUGAAUUGACCGGNNGAGAGNGCGACGACGACGACGAGGGAGGAGG
RNAcentral lists this ribosomal RNA (617 nucleotides) under uncultured bacterium. Its description in RNAcentral is "bacterial SSU rRNA". It matches the Rfam family "Bacterial small subunit ribosomal RNA", at positions 338 to 951 of the family's 1533-position model. The record is from RNAcentral.